UUGUAAGGUUCUGUUUCCCCCCUUACGUGGUCAGUUUGGUCAAUCCAUCGUCCCUACUUCCGGCCUCCUCCACUUCCCACUGAUGGCAUGUCCCGAUUUUUUCUCCUCUCACCUCAUUCGCCUCCUUGUCGCCUCACGCAAAGAAAGCACGCACCCACCUAGCGCCAUCAGCCUAUCCCCAUCACGAUCUGGCCGCCGCCACAACGUCGAUAUCGCAUCCGGCGCCGCCCGUCGCCUCCCUCUCCCAUCUCGCGCUUGUGUCUCCAAUCUCCCGUCGGACGUGCAUGUGCCUGCCCCUUCGCAUCAGCGACCACUUGCCAGCGACGACCCGAGGUCACCGUCGCGGGGACCAAAUGAUUCGUUGCCGCAGUCCAGAGCUACUUCGUCGACGGCGUCAAUGGAGGCUUUGGCGAGAGCUCCUGGCCUUCCGCCGCCGCCGCCGGGUCCAUCUCCCAGGCUGACAUGCGGCCGAUCGGGACUGCGUCGGAUCCUCUGUCGCUGGCCCACGUCCCAGUCCUCUCCUUCCUCUCACAGUUCAUGAGGUGGCACCACAUGAGGAACCGAGAAUAGAAUGAGAAAAUCUCAUAUGUGCCAGUCUGCGCAUCGCGUUCUCACGCCAAGCCCAAGCUCUUCUUGCUGCACUGUUGGCAGAUUCAUAUGUACAAUAUUAGUGUUCAUAUCAGUCUGACAGAUUCAUGUGUAUCUUUUCAGUAUUCAAAUUCAGGGAAUUCAAGUGAUACAUAUAUUGUUUGGAAUUUCGUUGCUAUGCCAUGAUCGGUUCCAUUUAUCCACCAUUUAAUGUUUUUAUUUUUCUGUCGUAAAGUAGUUCCUUCUAUGGAAUUGUAGUAAAAAGAUUAUAUUCAGCUUCGUUAAUGUCCAGAUGCAAGUUGAUGAAUUACUGUUCAUUUUACUUGAGAAGAAAUAAUUCACAUGUUCAAGAACAACCGCUGGAUUAUAAUUUUAUAAGCCUUUGUACUGAAUGCAAGCAUACACAUUGAUUAAUGAUAGAUAUGUAGUAUCCAGUGCAGUCUAAAAUUACAUCGCCACACCCGCCAGCAGGAGCGGCAGCAACAGCAUGGUGUCGUAGUUUGACCUGGUGGUUGUCCCGAGGGGCACGACACCGCCAGUGGAGAUGUAACAGGUGAAGGAGGAAGACGUGGGGACGAAGGUGGCUGCGUGGUAGAUCAACAAUUGGUUCGAUAGCGAGGUGGUUGUCGUCAACGGCUGGGAGACGAAGCAGGUAGACAAGGCCUUUUCCUGGCUGAACAAGAUUGAGGUUCACUUUGGACUUUGUCUCACUUUGAUGGGAGCUUGAAUUCUUCACCACGUUACGACUGAUAUUCCUGGAAUUUGUGAUCACAAUGUCAGUGCUGCCAUUGUCAUGCAGCUCAACCUGGGACCGAGCACGGAUGCCACUGCAUAUUGCUAAAAUUUACAGGAAAUGCGGAAAAUAGAGUUACAUCAACUGAGCAAUGCACAUUUCCCAAAAUGUGUACCACAUUGUUAUUGAGAUAAUUAUAUGUUGGUGUAUGGAGGGAAUUUGUGUGGGAGCGAUUGCAGCAUUGGGAGAAGGCACGAUACAUUCAGUUGACACCCUAAAAAAAGACUUUAGAGUCUAAAGUAUAAUGACACGGAAUAAGGUGUGGGAUCGUCUCUUCUUCUAAUCUAUGGGACUAUGAAAGAGUUGCUUGCUAUUGUGCUUCUUUGAAGACGCUUUCACAACAACUUUUAUCACCAUCGUUGGGCAUACACAUCGUUAGCAACACAGUGCAUGUUUCUCCAGGAACCAUUUGCUUACUUAGUAAUAUUUCUGUUCAUAUUAUAGGAUGAUAUGCUUGAUACUUUCCUUUUGUGAUCAUUGUUUUAGUUUGCGCGGGCUGGUUGUGGAUUACAUUGACCUUUACCAAAUACAUUGGCCUGAUCGGUCAGUACAAUGAAUUCAUUCCAUGCCAGAAGCUCCAACUGCCAUGUCUUUUUGCUUGCAUCAUGUGCAUCCUGGAGUCCUAAUAUAACUCAUGCUUACCCUGCAGUUAUGUUCCCCUGUUUGGAGAGAUGGAAUACAAUCUAAGCUACAAGUACACGCUGUACGGAUAGAAGAACAACUAGAGGCACUUGGAAAAUCUAUUGUAAUUGGUAUUGUACUGUAAAAAUGUAGUCCCUCUGUAAACUUUUAUAAGAUGUUUUAGGUUACAACUUACAAAAAUUUACAGAGGGAGUAUAUUCUAUGCCUACAUCGGAUUGUACGCAAUGAUAACUCUUUCUUUAGAAGAACCCUUCCUGGUGUUUGUACCAUCAGUGUGAGUUAUAACAUGUUGUACC
Triticum aestivum (bread wheat) is the source of this 2319-nucleotide long non-coding RNA. RefSeq lists it as uncharacterized. The record is from RefSeq and is a predicted model, not a curated record. The transcript has 3 exons. Lineage: Eukaryota; Viridiplantae; Streptophyta; Magnoliopsida; Poales; Poaceae.